UACGGGGGGGGCAAGCGUUGUUCGGAAUUACUGGGCGUAAAGGGUUUGUAGGUGGCUUGUUAAGUCAGACGUGAAAUCCCUCAGCUUAACUGGGGAACUGCGUCUGAGACUGGUGAGCUUGAGUGCAGGAGAGGAACGCGGAAUUCCAGGUGUAGCGGUGAAAUGCGUAGAUAUCAGGAGGAACACCGGUGGCGAAGGCGGCUUCCUGGACCACAACUGACGCUGAGGCGCGAAAGCUAGGGGAGCAAACAGG
Molecule: ribosomal RNA, 253 nt
Filed under: uncultured bacterium
Lineage: Bacteria
Description: partial 16S ribosomal RNA
Rfam family: Bacterial small subunit ribosomal RNA
Source: RNAcentral